RNAcentral lists this unclassified non-coding RNA (218 nucleotides) under uncultured Tomentella. RNAcentral's name for it is "sequence contains ITS2". Lineage: Eukaryota; Fungi; Basidiomycota; Agaricomycetes; Thelephorales; Thelephoraceae. The record is from RNAcentral.
ACACUUCAACUCUCAUAGCUUGCUGUGAUGAGCUUGGACUUUGGGGGUCUUGCUGGCCUGUGGUCAGCUCCUCUCAAAUGAAUUAGCUUUCCAGUGUUUGGUGGCAUCACGGGUGUGAUAACUAUCUACGCUUGAGGUUUUCCACCAGGCAACCUUCAGUAAUGAGGGUUCACUGGGGCUCACAAAUGUCUUUCUUUGGUGAGGACAGCUCUUUGAAU